GCGGUCAUAGUUUAGUGGUAAAACACGUCCUUGCCAAGGAUGAAAUUGGAGUCCGAUUCUCCAUGGCCGCACAA
Molecule: transfer RNA, 74 nt
Filed under: Candidatus Nomurabacteria bacterium RIFCSPHIGHO2_01_FULL_38_19
Lineage: Bacteria; Candidatus Nomuraibacteriota
Also listed under: 4 other names
Description: tRNA-Gly
Rfam family: tRNA
About the family: Transfer RNA (tRNA) molecules are approximately 80 nucleotides in length.
Source: RNAcentral